This 74-nucleotide transfer RNA is filed under the name Enterococcus faecium. Its description in RNAcentral is "tRNA-Ile". Lineage: Bacteria; Bacillati; Bacillota; Bacilli; Lactobacillales; Enterococcaceae. The record is from RNAcentral. RNAcentral also lists the same sequence under 1 other name.
GUACCCUUAGCUCAGUUGGUUAGAGCAGACGGCUCAUAACUAUCUGAUUGUAGGUUUUAAUUCUACAGGGCACA